AGCUGUUGCAUUUCUUAGUCUUAAGAUGUUCACUCUGACACUGGAAUUUGAGAAAUGUCUGUUCAUUAAUAGCUUCAAGUUUACAGCAGCCCCUGAAUGCAGCCUUCCAUUCUGAACCCAACAAUUCAAUGGGAUGAACAAGCAACUAAAUCUACAUUAUGGUGGUGGUGUCAGUGAUGGAACAGGCUCCUGCAAAGUCUGACGAAUAUCUUUCCUUGCAGAUAUUCAAAGUGCUACUGGAUGUGACCAGGAGUAACCUGAUUUAACUUUGGCAUUAGCCUUGGUUUGAGUGAGAGAAUGGAGCAGAUCCGAUGACCCCCAGAAGUCCAUCCCCACUUGAAUUUUGCUAUGAUUCUGUAUGGAGACCUCAUUCUCUUGUUGAAAGAAGUGCAACUCUCAUUUUUCUGCUCCUUUGCACUACUGAAUCCUGCAGUCCUGCCCAAGACUGGAAGCCAGAGGGUACAGAACUGCUCCAGCAACACAGAGAUGCAGCCUGAGCAUUGUCUGGAAAAACUGCUUUUGAUUUCUGAAGCUCCCUUCUGCCUUGCCAUUAAUGCACAGCUCUUGGAUAAAUCUGUAAGAGUAACACUGUGGCUGAAUUAGAGAUAUGGAAGUUGAAGGUUCCUUUUAAGAGAGAAAGAUGUAUUACAAAACUGUAAAAUGACUGUAGGAUUAGCAUUUUCCUUUAACCUUUUCUCUUUCCUCUUCAAAAAUUUGAAUAGCUGACAUUCCUUGCCUAUUUUUUUCAGUUCUGAGGUGCCUAUUAGGAAAUGCAAAUCUAUUUAAAAUAUACAUAUGCCUCUGAAUAGACCUUGAGCACAAAGCAGAGUCCUAUCCUUUUUACAAGCCUUUUUCUGUAUCAAAUAAUACGCAGCCCCAGGCAGACACUAAAAUAUGUGUGAGGCAUUGGACAUGCCAUGUCCAAUUUGUGUUAAAAUUUAGAGACAAAAGCUACCUGGGCAGAGCACCCAUUGGGCCAGUUUUUAGAUGGGCUUUUUGAAGUUUUGUUGAAAGCAGGUUUUAACAGAGCACAAGAUUCAACACGAGGUAUUGUUCCCACAUCUCUUUAACUUGGAAUUUCACUACAUAUAAUCAACUUGAGUCCCAUAUAACUAUUUUUCUUCUUUGACUUGACAGACAGGCUAACAUUAAGAUGGGAGUGUUACUUAUUCUGAGAAGAACUAAAUAUUACUAGGCAUUUGAAAGAAAGGUAGCCCCCUGAAAUAAAAAGGUGAUAUUAUGGAAACUGCA
RNAcentral lists this long non-coding RNA (1251 nucleotides) under Anas platyrhynchos platyrhynchos (common mallard). RNAcentral's name for it is "lncRNA (ENSAPLG00000017358.1)". Lineage: Eukaryota; Metazoa; Chordata; Aves; Anseriformes; Anatidae. The record is from RNAcentral.